RNAcentral lists this ribosomal RNA (253 nucleotides) under uncultured bacterium. RNAcentral's name for it is "partial 16S ribosomal RNA". It matches the Rfam family "Bacterial small subunit ribosomal RNA", at positions 524 to 776 of the family's 1533-position model. The record is from RNAcentral.
GACGAACCGUGCAAACGUUAUUCGGAAUCACUGGGCUUAAAGGGCGCGUAGGCGGGCGAUCAAGUCCGGGGUGAAAUCCUCCAGCUUAACUGGAGAAGUGCCUCGGAUACUGACCGCCUCGAGGAGGGUAGGGGCAUCUGGAACUAGCGGUGGAGCGGUGAAAUGCGUUGAUAUCGCUAGGAACUCCGAUGGCGAAGGCAAGGUGCUGGACCCUUUCUGACGCUGAGGCGCGAAAGCCAGGGGAGCAAACGGG